This 1470-nucleotide ribosomal RNA is filed under the name metagenome. RNAcentral describes it as "bacterial SSU rRNA". It matches the Rfam family "Bacterial small subunit ribosomal RNA". The record is from RNAcentral.
AGAGUUUGAUCCUGGCUCAGGACGAACGCUGGCGGCACGCUUAACACAUGCAAGUCGAACGAGAGAAGAGGAGCUUGCUUUUCUGAUCUAGUGGCGGACGGGUGAGUAACACGUGAGCAAUCUGCCUUUCAGAGGGGGAUACCGAUUGGAAACGAUCGUUAAUACCGCAUAACAUAAUUGAACCGCAUGAUUUGAUUAUCAAAGAUUUAUCGCUGAAAGAUGAGCUCGCGUCUGAUUAGCUAGUUGGUAAGGUAACGGCUUACCAAGGCGACGAUCAGUAGCCGGACUGAGAGGUUGAUCGGCCACAUUGGGACUGAGACACGGCCCAGACUCCUACGGGAGGCAGCAGUGGGGAAUAUUGCACAAUGGAGGAAACUCUGAUGCAGCGAUGCCGCGUGAGGGAAGAAGGUUUUAGGAUUGUAAACCUCUGUCUUCAGGGACGAAAAAAGACGGUACCUGAGGAGGAAGCCCCGGCUAACUACGUGCCAGCAGCCGCGGUAAUACGUAGGGAGCGAGCGUUGUCCGGAAUUACUGGGUGUAAAGGGAGCGUAGGCGGGAUCGCAAGUCAGAUGUGAAAACUAUGGGCUUAACCCAUAAACUGCAUUUGAAACUGUGGUUCUUGAGUGAAGUAGAGGUAAGCGGAAUUCCUAGUGUAGCGGUGAAAUGCGUAGAUAUUAGGAGGAACAUCAGUGGCGAAGGCGGCUUACUGGGCUUUAACUGACGCUGAGGCUCGAAAGCGUGGGGAGCAAACAGGAUUAGAUACCCUGGUAGUCCACGCCGUAAACGAUGAUUACUAGGUGUGGGGGGACUGACCCCUUCCGUGCCGCAGCAAACGCAAUAAGUAAUCCACCUGGGGAGUACGACCGCAAGGUUGAAACUCAAAGGAAUUGACGGGGGCCCGCACAAGCAGUGGAGUAUGUGGAUUAAUUCGAAGCAACGCGAAGAACCUUACCAGGUCUUGACAUCGUAGGCAUAGCUCAGAGAUGAGUGAAAUCUCUUCGGAGACAUAUAGACAGGUGGUGCAUGGUUGUCGUCAGCUCGUGUCGUGAGAUGUUGGGUUAAGUCCCGCAACGAGCGCAACCCUUACUGUUAGUUGCUACGCAAGAGCACUCUAGCAGGACUGCCGUUGACAAAACGGAGGAAGGUGGGGAUGACGUCAAAUCAUCAUGCCCCUUAUGACCUGGGCCUCACACGUACUACAAUGGCUGUCAACAGAGGGAAGCAAAGCCGCGAGGUGGAGCGAACCCCUAAAAGCAGUCUUAGUUCGGAUUGUAGGCUGCAACCCGCCUACAUGAAGUCGGAAUUGCUAGUAAUCGCAGAUCAGCAUGCUGCGGUGAAUACGUUCCCGGGCCUUGUACACACCGCCCGUCACGCCAUGGGAGUCGGUAACACCCGAAGCCUGUAGUCUAACCGCAAGGAGGACGCAGUCGAAGGUGGGAUUGAUGACUGGGGUGAAGUCGUAACAAGGUA